UACGGGAGGCAGCAGUCGGGAAUUUUACACAAUGGGGGAAACCCUGAUGUAGCAACGCCGCGUGAGUGAUGAAGGUCUUCGGAUCGUAAAGCUCUUUUAAUAGGAAAGAAAAAAAUGACGGUACCUAUAGAAAAAGCACCGGCUAACUCCGUGCCAGCAGCCGCGGUAAU
Molecule: ribosomal RNA, 170 nt
Filed under: uncultured rumen bacterium
Lineage: Bacteria
Description: partial 16S ribosomal RNA
Rfam family: Bacterial small subunit ribosomal RNA
Source: RNAcentral